AGCAGCCGCGGUAAUUCCAGCUCCAAUAGCGUAUAUUAAAGUUGUUGCAGUUAAAAAGCUCGUAGUUGAAUUUCGGGAUCAGUACGCUGGUCGUGCCUUCGGUAUGCACUGGUGUCACUGGUUUCUCCCUUCUGAAGAACCAUCAUGCCAUUCAGUUGGUGUGGCGGGGAAUCAGGACUGUUACUUUGAAAAAAUUAGAGUGUUUAAAGCAGGCUCGCGCUUGAAUACAUUAGCAUGGAAUAAUGAAAUAGGACGUUUGACCCUAUUUUGUUGGUUUCUAGGAUCGACGUAAUGAUUAAUAGGGAUAGUUGGGGGCAUUAGUAUUCAAUUGUCAGAGGUGAAAUUCUUGGAUUUAUUGAAGACUAACUACUGCGAAAGCAUUUGCCAAGGAUGUUUUCAUUAAUCAAGAACGAAAGUUAGGGGAUCGAAGACGAUCAGAUACCGUCGUAGUCUUAACCAUAAACUAUGCCGACUAGGGAUCGGAUGAUGUUAAUUUUUUAAUGACUCAUUCGGCGCCUUACG
RNAcentral lists this ribosomal RNA (522 nucleotides) under uncultured Glomeraceae. RNAcentral describes it as "SSU rRNA". It matches the Rfam family "Eukaryotic small subunit ribosomal RNA", at positions 569 to 1092 of the family's 1831-position model. Lineage: Eukaryota; Fungi; Glomeromycota; Glomeromycetes; Glomerales; Glomeraceae. The record is from RNAcentral.